Mugil cephalus (flathead mullet) is the source of this 1034-nucleotide long non-coding RNA. RefSeq lists it as uncharacterized. The record is from RefSeq and is a predicted model, not a curated record. NCBI's taxonomy places the organism in Eukaryota, Metazoa, Chordata, Actinopteri, Mugiliformes, Mugilidae. The transcript has 2 exons.
UUCGCGUAGAAAACGGGAAAACGGUCCCAUCAUACAGAGGCAGCGCAAAACAUCCGGCUGGUUUGCAGCGUGACCCAGCCUGACUGCGUCAAGUGUGAGAGUGACCAGGCCACUUCCGCUCCGGUAUUUUAAGACGUGCAGUGGGAUGGGCCGUGGGGUUUGAAACGAUGCCACCAUGCGGUGCAAGUACGUAACAGCAAGUAAUGUUUUAUUAGUCUUAAAGGAAAAUCAGACCAUUUCAAACAGUUAAGUUUUUAAUGAAAGGAUAACAGCAUUGUAAAUUACGUCUGAUUUUAUUCAAUGGAAAUAAAAAGACCUUCAGGAAAAUACAGUAAUUCCCAUAGUACACACAGAGAGGACAUAAAUUAGACAUGCCAGAGAAACGUUUGAGGGGGAAACGUGUCACCUGGGUGGUAGAAAACAUUUGAUCCAUGCUGCCACACAGCCAGAAUGUAGAGGAAUCAGUGAAAUGACACUCAGGACUUGUGUAAAGUGAGCCAAAAGGUUGAUUAUUCCUGUACACAAACGUCUAAAUGAAAGUACAAAAAGGGAAUAAUACAAAAUACAAAACAGGGAGGAGGAAAAAAACAAAUCUGCCCUCAAAAUAAACCAUAAAUAUUCAUAUCGAUGCACAUUGGUUCAACAAAACAAUUGCUUCUGUAAACAUUUUGAACGUAAGGUGUGCAUUACACUUUAAAAACCACUGCAUACUUAAUUAUCUGAAGGGUUACAUAAUAAAACUAAAAAUUUUUAGAGUUAAAAAUAUGUCAGUUUCUUCUGAAGUGGUUUCUAACACUGCUUUUUGUUUGUUGCUUUUCACAGAUGACAGUGAACGCAUCCGAUUAGCUCUUAGCAGGUUUCCCUCAGUGAAGAAGACAGUGAAGGCACCACACUUAACUGACAGCGAGAUCAAGUGGAGGCGAAACCCGGAGGUUUUCUCUUACAAAGAUUCAACUAGUCUUGUCGUUUGAGCGUCAGAAGAGGAAAAAAAAAUACAAAUUAAUGAUCAAGGAAACUAACCAGCCUGUGAGAAC